GACGAACGCUGGCGGCGUGCUUAACACAUGCAAGUCGAACGGUAAGGCCCUUCGGGGUACACGAGUGGCGAACGGGUGAGUAACACGUGGGUGAUCUGCCCUGCACUUCGGGAUAAGCCUGGGAAACUGGGUCUAAUACCGGAUAGGACCACUGCCUGCAUGGGUGGUGGUGGAAAGCUUUUGCGGUGUGGGAUGGGCCCGCGGCCUAUCAGCUUGUUGGUGGGGUGAUGGCCUACCAAGGCGACGACGGGUAGCCGGCCUGAGAGGGUGACCGGCCACACUGGGACUGCGAUACGGCCCAGACUCCUACGGGAGGCAGCAGUGGGGAAGAUUGCACAAUGCGCGCAAGCCUGAUGCAGCGACGCCGCGUGAGGGAUGACGGCCUUCGGGUUGUAAACCUCUUUCAGCACCGACGAAGCGCAAGUGACGGUAGGUGCAGAAGAAGGACCGGCCAACUACGUGCCAGCCGCCGCAGUAA
RNAcentral lists this ribosomal RNA (478 nucleotides) under uncultured bacterium. Its description in RNAcentral is "partial 16S ribosomal RNA". It matches the Rfam family "Bacterial small subunit ribosomal RNA", at positions 28 to 523 of the family's 1533-position model. The record is from RNAcentral.